GAUGAACGCUGGCGGCGUGCCUAAUACAUGCAAGUCGAGCGAACAGACGAGGAGCUUGCUCCUCUGACGUUAGCGGCGGACGGGUGAGUAACACGUGGAUAACCUACCUAUAAGACUGGGAUAACUUCGGGAAACCGGAGCUAAUACCGGAUAAUAUAUUGAACCGCAUGGUUCAAUAGUGAAAGACGGUUUUGCUGUCACUUAUAGAUGGAUCCGCGCCGCAUUAGCUAGUUGGUAAGGUAACGGCUUACCAAGGCAACGAUGCGUAGCCGACCUGAGAGGGUGAUCGGCCACACUGGAACUGAGACACGGUCCAGACUCCUACGGGAGGCAGCAGUAGGGAAUCUUCCGCAAGGGGCGAAAGCUUGACGGAGCAACGCCGCGUGAGUGAUGAAGGUCUUCGGAUCGUAAAACUCUGUUAUUAGGGAAGAACAAAUGUGUAAGUAACUAUGCACGUCUUGACGGUACCUAAUCAGAAAGCCACGGCUAACUACGU
This 496-nucleotide ribosomal RNA is filed under the name uncultured bacterium. Its description in RNAcentral is "partial 16S ribosomal RNA". It matches the Rfam family "Bacterial small subunit ribosomal RNA", at positions 28 to 506 of the family's 1533-position model. The record is from RNAcentral.